Long non-coding RNA from Cyprinus carpio carpio, 3457 nucleotides. Lineage: Eukaryota; Metazoa; Chordata; Actinopteri; Cypriniformes; Cyprinidae. The record is from Ensembl.
AAGAUAAUGGCUCCAGUCGGUCUGGUUGUUGUGACAAUAGGUGCGGAGGAAACGUGUAAGUUGUUGAUUCAAUCGUUCUACUUGGCCGUUGGAUUCGGGGUGAUAUCCUGAGGUAAGGCUGACAUUGAUGUUAAGUUGUUGACAGAAAGCCCUCCAUACUCGGGAAGUGAACUGCGGAUCCCGGUCCGAGACGAUGUCCUCAGGAAGACUAUAGAACUUGAAUACAUUCUGUAGGAGAGCUUCGGCCAUCUCGAAGGCUGUGGGCAGCUUGGGGAGAGGAACUAGGCAACAAGCCUUGGAGAAGCGGUCAAUGAUGGUGAGUAUGGUGGUGAAAUGAUUGGAGCUAGGUAAGUCUGUUACGAAGUCAAUGGCAAUAUGAGACCAUCGUCAUUGGGGAAUGGGGAGAGGUUGGAGUAGACCUGCCGGUCAUUGAUGUGAAGAUUUGGAGAUGUUGCAAGUGUCACAACCUUGGACGAAUUGUGUAACAUCGGACUGAAGAGAGGACCACCAGAAGCGAUAGGCCACAAGUUCAAUGGUGGCAUUGAUGCCCAGAUGACCAGUGCUGGGAGAUUUGUGAAUCCACUGUAUUACUCGUGGGCGGAGACCGACAAGAACAUAGGUGCGGUAGGGAGGACACCCGGGACAGAGCGUCCACUUUGCCGUUCUUAGCUCCAGGUUGAUAGGUUACCUUGAAGUCAAAGCGAGAGAAGAACAGGGACGAUCUUGCCUGUCUGGGGUUGAGACGCUUAGCGGAUCUGAUGUACUCCAGAUUGUGAUGGUCGGUUAGUACGAGGAAUGGUAGUCUCGCCCCCUCCAGCCAGUGCCGCCACUCUUCAAACGCAGCCUUCAUGGCUAACAAUUCCCUAUCUCCCACAUCAUAGUGUCUCUCUGCCGGGUUGAGUUUGCGAGAGAAAUAGGCACAUGGAAAUAGUUUGGGUGGAAUACCGUGACGUUGUGAAAGGAUUGCGCUGAUGCCCGUAUUCGAUGCAUCCACCUCUACCCUAAACUCCGAGUCAGGGUUGGGAUAAUGUAAGACGGGGGCUGACGUGAAUUGCUGUUUGAGCUGCUGGAAAGCCUGUUCGCUGGCGGGUGUCCAAUUCAGACACUUUCUCUUCCCCUGUAACAAUUGAAGUGAGAGGGGCUGCUACUACACUGAAAUUCCUUAUAAAACGUAGAUAGAAAUUUGCAAAUCCUAGGAAACACUGCAGUUCUUUGAUUGAGGAUGGUUUCGGCCAAUUUCUUCUCAUCCAUGGUGACCCCCUCUGCACUAAUUACGUACCCCAAGAAGGAGAUCUGUGUUUGGUGGAACUCACACUUCUGUAUCUUAGUGUAGAGCUAAUGCUUGAUGAGUCGUUGAAGGACAUCUCUGACCUGCUUGACAUGGGUUUCAAGGGAUCAAGAUGUCGUCAAUGUAGACGAUGACACCUUGGUUCAACAUAUCCCGGAAGACGUCAUUAAUGAGGGACUGGAACAUUGAUGGACUGUUGGCAAGUCCGAACGGCAUAACCCGAUAUUCAUAGUGCCUGGAUGUUGAGAAGGCCGUCUUCCAUUCGUCCCCUUUGCGAAUGUGAACCAGGUUGUAGGCACUGCGUAGAUCCAGUUUCGUGAAGUAUUUAGCGCUGCGGAGCUGCUCUAGGGCUGAAGAAACCAGGGGCAAUGGGUAGCGGAACUUUAUGCUUAUCUCAUUGAGUGCCCGAUAGUCAAUACAGGGCCGAAGACCCCCGUCCUUCUUCUUAACGAAGAAAAAUCCCACUGAAGCUGGUGAUUUGGAUGGUAUGAUAAAGCCCUUGGCUAGUUCCUCUUCAAUAUACUUCCUCAUGGUUUCAGAUUCGGGUUGUGAGAGGGGGAAAAUUCUGCCCCUGGGAGGAGUAGAGCCUGGGAUGAGGUCGAUGGCACAGUUGCUGGGUCACUGAGGAGGGAGUUUGGAAGCUUUGGCUUUGCUGAAGGCCUCAGAUAGAUCUUGAUAUUCAGCGGGCUGUCCUGAGAGGUCGUUCUUUGAGGGGGUUUGAUCUCCCCCUCCUGGGGAUGAGUGGAAGGUUGUUGUGAGACGAGACAAUGGCAUUGACAGGAUCUUGACCACUGAAUGAUCUCUUGUGUUGACCAUGAGAUGCAUUGGUUGUGUUUCUCUAGCCAGGGAAGUCCAAGAAUGACAGGGUUUUGGGGUGAUUCAAUGGCAAACAGUCUUAUGGAUUCAGUGUGGAGAGCACCGGUUAGAAGUUGUAUCUUUGGGUUAUGAAUUUGAUUCUCCCCGAGCUUAGUGGUCAACCAUCUAGCGCUGCCACUGCCACCUGGGAUUCACAUGAAAUGAGAGAAAUAUUAUGAGUUUCAGCAAAAGAGAUAUCAAUAAAAAUCCCUGCAGCACCAGAGUCAAUCAUAGCUAUGGUCUCAACCCUCCUCCCUCCGGUGCUAAGAGCAACCGGAAUGCCAAAUGAAUGAUUAUUUGAACCCACAGCACUCAUUGUGUUGGAUUUACGAUGAGGGGGGCGAGUGGGACAGGAAGCCCUCAGGUGACCAGCCUGACCGCAGUAUAGGCACAGAUGUUGACGAAUGCGUCUCUCACGCUCCUCCGCUGAUAGUUGGGUGGCGCCGAUCUGCAUGAGUUCCUGGCUCUGUGAACUUCUGAGCAACCGACCGUGUGGGAGAACUCCGGCGGGUGCGUCGUGAGCGUAUUAAGUCAUCGAGACGGAUGGUUAAAUCCAUGAAUUGUUCGAGGGUCUUUCCUUCCUCCCUGCAGGCUAUUUCCGACUGUAGAUCAUUGUUGAGUCCCUUUCGGUAGAACAGCCGGAGAGGUUCAUUAUCCCAGCCCGUUUGAGCAGCGAGUGAUCGGAAAGCAAGAGUGUAUUCGGCAGCGGUGCUGUUUCCCUGAUACAGAGCGAUUAACUCCUCUCCCGCCUCCUUUCCGCUGGCGGAGUGUUUGAACACAUCCCGGAAUUGGCGAAUGAAACAGUUGUAAGUGGGAAAUGCGAUUACCCUGCCACAUCGCUGUAGCCCACUCCAAAGCUUUACCGGUAAGCAGAGAGCAGACGAAUGCUACAUGGCUCUCAUCAGUCGGGUAAGUGAGGGGUUGAUACAGAUGUAGCAUUGCAUCAGGAAGCCCUUACACUUGCAUGGGGAACUGUCAAACUUUUCCAGAAGUGAAAGUCGAACACCAUGUGGUGCGGGAGUUGAUGUGGGAGUGGUGAGCGCGGCAGCUGGCGCUGAUGUUGGUGUGGGAUUCCCUGGUGGGGGGGGGUCACGUGGAGCGCUUGUAGUGUUUUCACAAGUUCCUCUGUGAGGGAGGUGAGUCUCUGGAGCUGUUGUUGAUGUGUGGCAGCACAGAAGCUUGAGCUGAUACCUCGGAAGAGAGCUGGUAGAAUAUCGCUGGAUCCUGAGUUGGCGAAGUCUUCUGUAAUGAGGAGUCAGGGGCAUUUGGUCCAAAGCGUCUGAUGCUGUGAAAGUAUGUCAGUAAAUGCAAGUA